CCAUUGCUCCAUCAGUGAACUCCGACAAAAAAAAAUGAUGCUAGCGACAGCAAAUCGCCAUGGUCACGCCUGAAAAAAUUUGGAAGAGCUUCAGAAUUUUUGAAUUUGCUAAAAAACAGAUCUUUCAAAGAUCCGUCUAGGUACAUGUUUUAAACUAUUGUUACCUCUGUCCUUCAACUCUGUAUGUCUCUUUGAAUAACUUUGGAGAAUCAUUGAUGUUUGCUUGUUCUUCGCUGAUUAAAGAUUAUGGAUUAUUAUGUGUUUUUAUGUUGCAAUUUUGUACUCUUAUCUCAUGUUCUUGUGUUCAAGUUGUAUGUUUGAAUGGGGUUUACAGUGAGGACGUCAUUAUCUUCCAUCGUUAUGUUUUAGAGAUUAUAACAUGACUUUAGAUCAAUGAAUUAAUUAUGUCCUCAUUCUGAGAUUUUUGGAUCUGAUUUAGGAUUCGUGGUAUAAGAAUAUGAUUAACUUAUAUUUGUUUUCGUCUAAUUGAAUUAUUAAAUCCUUGACUAAUUUGAACAACUUUUCUUUAUGGACCGAGCUUCAGUCAGCCCCUCAUUUAAAUUGUUCCAAUUUCUUUUUCAUUCCAUGUUUAGGCUAAUCACUUUUCCGUUUCGUCUAAGACUACUUAUUUUGUUUGAUACUAAUACUUUUUAUUUGCUCCUAAUUAAUUUUUUUCUUGACUUAUAUAAAUUUGAUUUGAUUUUUACUCGUUCUUGCUAUGGUAAAAGAUUACUACAAAUUAAUAUGUGAACGUAAAUCUCGUCACCGGAUUUGAUCAGUUUAAUUAUCCUUUUGCUUGUUUAGGAUUACCUCUUCUAUUUUUCCUGGUUUCACAUAAUUUUAAUUUAUGGGUUGCUUUAUUGAUCUCUCUUGUCUUAGUUAAAAUUCAGACAGAUUCUUAUUUAAUUACUUUUGGUAAAAAUUCUAUUGAUUUUAAGAAAUGUUUGUACUAAUUUACUCUUUAGUAGUUUAAGGAAACAAUAUUCCAGGAAUUGCUCCUGGUAAUUCUUUUCCCUUUUUACUGUUUGGCCCCUUAUUCAUUAUAGAAAGAGAUUUCCCCUCUCACUCUUCUCACACUUUAACAAGCACAAAACUGAUAUUCUCCAAAAGCAAUACAAUUUCCUUCACAAAUCACUUGUCAAAAGUUCAUCUCUAUUCGGUUUAUUAUUUAAAGUUGGACUCCUGAUCAAGCUUACUUUUGUUGAUUAACUAUCUCCUUAAUUGAUUAAUGUUCUUCCUUAAGUUAUUUUAUGUCUUGCAUUAGUGUACCAAUUUAUUUGGUAUAAUCUAUAAUGUUUAAAAGGAAGCGCUCAGAUUAGUCUUAUUCCUUAUUGCGUAGUAUGUUUGCAUGCUUUAUUAUGUUCAAAUAAAUAAAAGGAGGCAUCCGGGUCAGUUUUCAUCCCUUCUCUCUGUGUGUUAUGUUAUCUUUAUUGUUUUACUACAUGUUAAAGUUUUGUGUGUCUGCCUUUGAUUUAGUUUGUAUGUGCUGAUUCUAUAUGAAAUAAUUAUUGCCAUGCGUGUCCUUUGUUAUUAUUUGUGAUGUAUUGUCCUGUUUGAUUAACAACUUUUUGAACAUGACUUCAAAAGGAUGAAGAGUUUGUCGGGCAAGGGGAAGUCGGGAUGUCGCUAUUUUAUCAUUAUUUUAGUCGUUUGUUUAUAUAUUUAUUUUAUUUCAUUAUCUCUAUUGGGUUGUCAUAAUUGUUUUCUAGCUCUCUCUAUAUAUAUGAAAUAAUUUGGAGGACUGUAUAAACGGGUGUAACACCUCGUAAAUCAGAAGUUGAUUUAGUUGGAAAAGUUUAGAAAAUGUUGCACGACUCUUAUGCUAUGGAUCAACCUACAGGUCGUAGAUCUCCCUAUGAGUCAUACGAAGGGUCUCACGGACAUCAGGUAAGAUUUUUGGGAAAUUUAAGUUUCAGAAGUUUGACCUAGGAGUACUUAAAAAGACGAACGAUAGAAAUUUGGACGAGUCGUAGAUAGGUUAAUUAGGAAGGCUCUACACUUGGUGAAAUUUUAGACUCUGGCUUGUGUUCUACAAAAAGGGUCUACUGACGAUAGAUAAAACAAUGGAUCGUAGGAUGGGUUCAUGGACUGUAAGAAGAUUUUGGGGUUUCUGAAGUAUGUUCUAUGGUUGACUAGUAUAGACCAUAGAAAGUUCUAUCGACCAUAAGUCCAAAACAUAGACCGAGUUGGGCAUUUAUUUAUUAAAGGUAUUUGGGUCUUUUCCAAUGCAUCUAAUAUCUAUACUACGCCAUUUUGACCAUAAUUCUAAGCCUUGUAACUACUAUUCUAUUCCAAACUAACUCAAAUAUCUCAUUCUCUCAAAACCCAAAAUUCUAUCUGCGUUAAUCCUCUCCAAAUUCUCACAAGCUCAAGGAAGAUCAUCUAGAGCUUCAAGCAUGAAGUCUGCUUUUUUAUUUUUCCCAUUAAUUUUGAGCUUUGUUUUUCAAGGUUUGGGGGAUUUCACCAAUGGAUUUCAUUCCUCCAUUGUGUCCUCAAAGAUUUCUAUGUUUCUAAUUCAAUUUCACCUAAAUUGAUUAAGGUUUCAUGUAAUCUACAUGGGUCUUGCUUGAUUUUGAUUUAAUUACGCAAUUUCAAUGUUCUCAUGCAUGAAUUUAUAAAAAAACAUAAUUUCUAAUUAUUUUUUCUAUAAAACCAAUGCUUCUUUCGAACAAACAAUACUGAGUAAUCCAUGGUGAGAUACUUAGUCUAAUGAUUCUUUUAUUCAAUAAGUUUUUCAACUGAUUCAUUAAUUUCAUAAGUUCUGUCAGGGCCAUACGAUAAGGAGGAAUAGAGAUAAGCUACUAUGGGAGAAGGUCAAUAUCGAAGCCUAUUUCACUUUCGGGAGGAAUACCAAGAAGAUCAUUAGGAAACACUUUUGGAAACUCAUUUACAAUCAGAACUUACUAACGAGUAGGGGUUUCAGAAUAUGUAUCCCUGAACCCGAACAAGAUGAUAAAUGAAACCCUUAGAAAUCAUUUUCCUAGUGUUUAGGUAAGAUAUAAACUGACCCUUAAAAGUAUAAUAUCCCCUUUCCCAUGACAUGAUAGGUUCAUUCAGAACCUUGAAGGUGACCAAUCAAGUCCUACAAUCUAUAGAGACAUAACAUGCAUGAAGCCAAUCCAUUCUAAGAAUAAUACCAAAUAUGAUAAAUCAAGUUCUACAAGGUCAACAUGAGUGACUAUGAAAAACAAAAAUAGGACAAUAUCACCAACGAGAGUGGAGACAUGAAAGAGAUUAGAAAGGAUUUCAAGACCUACAUCGAAUAUUAUGGAUGUGCACAUAAUGAGUAAAAAAUUAUAAUGUAGCACUCGAAUCAAGUAAAGAAUAAAUAUUAAGGCGAAAGACUUUCAACACAGCAGUCACAACAUCAUGGGAACCCUAGUGAUCCUGUCGAGUCUAAAGAAUAUAUAAUUUGUUUUUCUUCGAAACACCUAUAUCGAAAACAUUAGGUUGAGCUUGCCUACGAUCCCUUCCUUUAUUAGCAAGAAAUGAGAAAUUUAUCACUUGUGACCAUUCCUUCCACAAGUAAAGCAACCAUCCAUACCGGCCAAUCAGUUGCCAUCAUCUUUCCGGCCACACCUAUUGCAAGUAGUUAUAAAAAAUCCACAACCUUUACCUCUUUGAGGUUUACGAUUAGACACCCUAUCCUUGUUUAACUUAGAGGUUGAAUAAAUAGAAGAACCUUGACCGAAAAACCAUUGUGAGAAUUUAGAAUGACCAUGUCCAUCGAAUCCUGAAUGGGAAAAGUCGCCAUCACCGAGCCUUUCCUACUUAGACUCCAUAGACCUCUCCUUUAGUUUUUCCUCUUUGAGUUGUAGGGCAUGUAUAACUUAAUAGAAGUUAUUCAUCUCCUUGAUUUGCAUGGCGCUUCGACAUUCUUUAACAACAAAAUCAAAAACACCUGACAUGAACUUACUAAUAUUUGCCCUAGAGUUGUCAACCAUAGCCGGUGCAUACUUAGCCGAUUGAGUGAAUUUGAAAGCAUAUUCCUCCAUACUCACAUUGCCUUGAAAGAGAUUAAUGAACUCAAACACUUUUUCUUCUCACAUUUUAGGAGGAAAGAAACGAUCAAGAAAAGCUCCUUUGAAUUUUUUCCAAUCAAAAGGACCCGCAUCAAUAGCCCUUUCUUCCUUUCAUUGGUCAAACCAAACUUGAGAAACACCUUUGAGUUGGAAUGCUGCCGAUUCCACCUUCCAUCGUCGACACUUCCAUAAUUUGAAGUAUCCUAUAGACCUCAUCAAUGAACUCUUGGGGAUCCUCAUCAACCUUAGAACCAUAGAACUCUUGAAGAUUCACCCUAGUAAAGUCCCUUAUAUUUGUUGCCGUUGUACCCACAUUUGGGUUCAUGAGAGCAACCUUAUUUCUAUUAGCUUGGACCAUCACAACUUGAGCCAACACUUAGAAAGCAACUCAAAAUUUGGCAUGAGUCACUUGCUCGGCCAAAGGAUUAGCCAGAACUGCAGAAACCUUGGGCUCCAUAUUCUCACUCGCAUUCCCUCUUAAAAAACCUCUUCCGGGAGCCAUUCCUGAAAAACAUCGAAUAAGAGUUAGGAGAAGGACCCUUAUAGAGAUGAAAUCUAUGACACUACUUUAAUUUAGAGUAGUGAAAGAAGUGAAUUUUCCUUAACGCUUUGUAUCCUCAUGUUCAUAAAUAUGGUGUACUUCACACUUAUGAACAAGACACUACUCAACACGGCAUGUGUUACAUAAGAUGUCUAACAAGCUGCUUUGAGUAGAGUUUUGUUCAUAACUGUGAAGCACAUCACAUUUAUAAAUAAGAGGUUACAAUGUGUUUAGGAAACUUCACUUCUUUCACUACUCUAAAGUUGUGCCAUAGAAGUCCUCUUUACAAAAACCCUCCUCCUAAAUCUUAUUCGAUGCUUUUCAAGAUAUGGCUCCCUGGAGAGCUUAUGUGAGAAGGAAUGUGAGUGAGAAUGUAAAGCCCGGGGUUUCUCAAGUUCCAGUUGAUCUUUUGCUGAGCAAGUGACUCAUGCAAAAUUAUUAGCCACUUUCUAAGUGUGGGCCUAAACUAUGAUGACCAAAGAAAAUAGAGAAGUCGUUUCUCCCCUGAACCAAAAUGUGGGGACGACGACAAAAAUGAUAAAGGACUUUAUCGGGAUGAAUCCUCUGAAAUUUCAUGGGUCAGAAGUUAAUGAGGAUCCUCAAGAGUUCAUUGAUGAGUUGUAUGAGAUAGUGGAGAUUAUGGGAGUGUCACCGGUAGAAAAGGUGGAAUUAAUCGCUUAUCAACUUAAGGGUGUUUCUCAAGUUUGGUUCAAAAAAUGGAAGGAAGAGAGGAAUAUUGAUGCGAUCCUCUUUAUUGUAAGAAAUUCAAAGGAACAUUUCUUGAUGAUUUCUUUUCCUUUGAGAUGAGGGAAGGGAAUGUGCUUCAGUUCAUUAAUCUUUGACAUGGAAAUAUGAGUGUGAAAUACGCUUUGAAGUUCAUUCAAUUUUCUAAGUAUGCUCUGAUUAUGGUUGUCGGCUCAGGACCAAUGAUGAGUAAGUUUGUGCCUAGUAUGUCUGAAAUGGUAGGGAAAGAGUGUCAUACCACCAUCUGGAUCAAGGAGAUGGACAUCUCUUGGUUGAUGACCCACGCACAACAAAUUAUUGUAAAAAGCUAAAGGAGAACUCUAGAGAGGCAAGAAGGCAAAGACUGGUGAUGGUGACUUUUCCCAUUUGAGGUCCUGUGGGAGUGGUCGUUCUAUAUUACAGCAAUGGUUUUCCUGUCAAGGUUAUUCUAAUGCUCCAACUUCUAAGUUCAACAAGGAGGAUAUGUCUAACCCAAAACCUCAAGGAGGUAAUGGUGGUGGAUGUUUUAUGACUACUUGCACUAGUUGUGGCAAGAAACAUGAUGUCAAAUGUAUGAUCGGUACAAAUGGUUUCUUUAGUUGCGAGGAAAGUGGUCACAAAAUGAAAGAUUGUCCAUUGCUUUCUACUAAUGGAAGAUAUGGUAGGAAAGCUCAGCCUAGAGGUUCUAGUUUGAGUUCUCCAAAGCAAAACAAAUUCUAUGCACUUCAAACUCUAUAGGAUUAUGAGGGUUUUUCGCAUAUUGUGAUCGGCAUGUUGAAAUUCUUUCAUAUUGAUGUGUAUGCUUUACUUGAUAUGGGUGAUAUGUUAUCAUUUGUUACUCCUUAGGAGGCCAUGCGAUUCGAUGUUGGUCAUGAAAUUAUUUUUAAUUCCUUUCAUGCCUCUACUCUCAUUGGUGAUUCUUUUAUUACGAAUAGAGUUAAUAGAAAUUUUCCUAUUUAUAUUUCUCAUAGAGUCACUCAUGUUGAUCUUGUAGAGAAUGAUAUGUUAGAUUUUGAUAUUGUUCUUGGGACGCAUUGGCUUGAUGUAUGUUAUGCUUACAUAAACUGUAGGACUUCAUCAGUCAAAUUCAAGGUUAUGAAUGAACCUAUCAUGUCAUGGGAAGGGGGAAAUUAUGUUUUUAAGCGAUAGUUCAUAUCUUACCUAAAAGCCAGAAAAAUAAUUUCUAAGGGUUUCAUUUACCAUCUUGUCCGAGAUAGCAAUACAGAUUACAAAACCCCUACUCUUGAGUACGUUCCAAUUGUAAAUUAGUUCUCAUAAUUGUUUCCCAAUGAUUUUCUUGGUAUUCCUUCCAAAAGGGAAAUUAUGUUCUUAAGGGUUAGUUCGUAUCUUGCCUAAAAGCUAGGAAAAUGAUUUCUAAGGGUUGCAUUUACCAUCUUGUACGGGCUAGCGAUGCAUAUUACAAAACCUCUACUCUUGAGUACGUUCCGACUAUAAAUUAGUGCUCAAAAGUGUUUCCCAAUGAUUUUCCUGAUAUUUCUUCCAAAAGGGAAAUAUAGUUCAAUAUUGAUCUUUUCCUAGGUAUGAAGUUUAUCUCUAUUCCUUCUUACUUAAUCGCCCCGGAAGAACUUAAGGAAUUAAAGAAUCAGUUGAAAGACUUAUUUGAUAAAUGAUUCAUUAGAUCGAGUAUCUCACCAUAUGGUAUUGCGGUAUUGUUUGUUCAAAAGAAGGACGGUUCCUUCUGAAUGUGCAUUGACUAUCGACAAUUGAAUAUGGUUAGCAUAAAGAAUACAUAUACAAUUCCAAGGAUUGAUGAUUUAUUUGAUAAACUCCAAGGUGUUAGUUUUUUUAGAUUGACAUUCGAUCGGAAUAUCACCAAUUAAUAGUGAAGAAAAAUGACAAUCUAAAGAUGACUUUUUGAACCAUGUCUUAUUAUUAUGAAAUUUUAGUAAUGUCUUUUGAUUUGACUAAUGCCCUGGUGGUGUGUAUAGAUUUCAUGAAUAGGGUCUUUAAGCAAUAUCUCGACAUGUUUUGUAAUUAUGUUUAUUGAUUAUAUUUUGAUUUACUCACUUAUCAUGUUUAGCAUUUAAGGAUUGUGUUACAAGUUCUCAAGGAUAGUGAAUUGUAUACUAAGUUUAGCAGGGGUGAGUUUUGGUUGAGGUCUAUUACUUUUCUUGGCCAUAUUGUCUCAUGUGAAGGUUUUCAAGUCGAUCCUAAAAAAUCCGAGGUGGUUAUGAAUUGGCCUAGAUAUAUGUAAACUUUAGAUAUAUAGAGUUUCUAGGGUUAGCCGGUUAUUAUAGAAGGUUUGUGGAAGGAUUUUCCUCUAUUACUUCACUUUUGACGACAUUGACUUAAAAGAACGUUAAAUUCCUAUGGUCGGAAUCUUGUGAGAAGAGUUUCCAAGAGUUGAAAGAUAGCCUCACUUCAACCCCUAUAUUUAUAUUACCUGAAGGAUCUGAUGUCUUUGUAGUGUAUUGUGAUCCUUCAAGGAUUGGUCUUGGUUCUGUUUUGAUGCAACAUGGGAAGGUAAUUGCUUAUGCUUCAAGGCAAUUGAUCAAUGUGCACAAAAGGAAUUAUCUGACUCCUGAUUUGAGUUUUGCGGUGGUAGAGUUUGCUCUAAUGAUUUAGAUACAUUACCUAUAUGUUGGUUAUGUAGAUGUUUACUCACCACAACAGUUUAAAAUAUGUUUUUACUCAAAAGAAAUUGAAUCUUCAUCAAAGAAGUUGGCUUGAGCUAUUGAAGGACUACGACAUGAGUAUCCUCUAUCAUACAGAUAAAGUGAUUGUGGUGGCGUCUGCUCUUAUUUGACUAUCGAUGGGUAAAUGUUGCACAUGUUGAUGAUGGUAAGGAGUUAGUCUAUUUUGACAAUAAUUCUAAACCUUGUAACUAAUGUUCUAUUUUUAAAACUAGCUCAAAUGUCUCAUUCUCUCAAAACCCAAAAUCCUAUCUACAUUCAUUGUCUCCAAAUUCUGUCAAGCUCAAAGAAGAAUACCCAGGGUUUCAAGCUUCAAGUCUCUUUUUUCUCCAUUACUUUUGGGCUUUGUUAAUCAAGGUAUGUGGGAGUUCACUAAUGGAUUUCAUUCAUCCACUAUGUCAUAAAAGAGAUCUAAGUUUCCAAUUCAACUUCAUCUGAAUUGAUUAGGGUUUCAUAUAAUCUACACGUGUCUUGCUUAAUUUUUUAUUAAUUACAUAAUUUCAAUCUUCUCAUGCAUGAAUUGAUUAAACCACAUGAUUUUAAAUUGAUUUUUCUAUAAGACCUGAUGAAAUUCUAAAGAAGCUUGCAAAAUUAUGAAGUAUGAUUUAGAGAAGUUAUGCAUUAUUAUGAAAGUAAUGUUUAUGAAUUAAGGAUUAUUAUGAGAUAUGUAGCAAAGAAUGGUGAAAGGUUUUUCUCACAUACUAAUGCAAUCAUGAUUGUGAAAGGUUUUCUCACAUAUGUAUGAAUAAGUAUUUAAAGUAGCUACUCUAUGAUGAAUUAAGAAUUGGAUUGGAAGUCUAAAUUGUGUCUUUCCAAGUAUGAUAAUAUAAAUAUGUUUAAGACUAAAUCCAUUGAGAUUUUACUUUGCACCGAGAGGACGUUGAGAUGAAGGCUCUCUCGUUAGUAAAGGACAUGUCUCUAGUAGCAAUCCCUUUGUCUCUAACUACGUGCCUAUAUAGGAUUUAUCUUAGAAACAUAUAGCUAAUGGAUCCAGCUUGGCUAGAAGUUUAUGGUCCUUACCUUGGAUAGUAGGACAUCUCUUUUUGAUGUGAGAGCAAGACACCGACUAAUAGUAAACAUCCCACAAAAUGAACCAAUUUACAUUAAAGGUUUCUAUGAAGCUUUCAAUAUGUUUUAAGAUGCAUUGAUCAUGUUUAUGAAUUUGAUUCCUUUAAAGGAUUUUACUUUUUUUUAGUUUGGUCAUGCAUAUAAUGUUGUAAUGUUCUCAUAUACUCAUGAUUCAUGUCUUUAUGCAUUUCCCCAUACUUAGUACAUUUCAUGUACUGAUGCAUACUUGUGCCUACAUUGUUUGAUAAUGUAGGGACAAGAUCUUCUCCUCCUUUCGCUCGUGACUAGCUGAUUGCUUGUUUGUUGAAGACUUGGCGAAUCCUCAUAUUCCGAGGAUUGUGUCACCUUUACUAUGCUUUCUUACGUCCAUAGUUUUCAAAUUUUGUAUGUGGUGUAUGGUUUUGUGUCUACUACUUUUUUGAUGUAUUGGAUAUUCUUGUGAAGACUAUGAUUAGACUUCUGCUCAUUUGUUAAACUCUUCUUUGAUAUGAGACUUUCAACUUAAAUUCUACUUUUUAACGAUUAUAUUAUAUUGUAUGUAUGACAAGUGGUUGGUGUAGGGCUUCUCAGGGUCCUAUAUCACGUCUAGGGUGUACUUUGGGUCAUGGCAAUCUUGGGUAUCAGAACACAAGGUUUUAGAAAAGGUCCUAGGAUGGCACAAUCCAAAGUAUACUCUAAAUGUGACAUGAAUAUAAGACCCCGAGAGGCCCUACACAAGCCACACGAUAUACAUACAACCCAAUUUAAUAGAAAAUAUGAGAAAUUGAGCAAUAGGUCCCAUAUCAUGAAGGAGUUGGACAUCAGAGUGGAAGUCUACACAUAGUCUUGAAAAACUAAUCUAACAUAUCCAAAGAAAUGGUCGGGACGUAACCCGUACCCCACGUACAACAUUUGAAAACUAAAGACAUAAGAAAAUAAUACUAAUGGUGUCAUGGUCCUUGGAUCAUGAGGACUCACUAUGUUUUAAUGAUCAAGCAAUUAACUAGCUACGAAUGGGAGUAGGAGAAAUGUCAGACCCUACAUUAUGAGACAAUGUAGGCAUAAGUAUGCAUCAGUACAUGGAAUGUACUAAGUAUGAGGGAUAUGCAUAAGAACGUAAAGCAUGAUCUUAAGGAGACGUAAAGGAAAAUAUGAUAUGUAUGACCAAGCUAAAACGUAGUAUGCUUUUAAAGAAGGAUCAUAAAUCAUGAACAUGGUCAAUGCAUAUUGAAAUCAUAUGGAAAGAUUCAUAAAAACCAUUGAAGUAACUUAGUUUAUUUUGUGAGAUAUUUACCAGUAAUCGACAUAGACCACAUAAGCUAAAAUGUGGAAUCCGGUGUCUUGCUCCCAUACCAAAAGGAGAUAUCAAAUUUUCCAUGGAAAGGACCUUAAACUUGUCUCUUAGGUGGAUCCACUACCUAUGUAUUUAUAAGACAAAUUCUGCGGGGGCACGUAGAUAGGGACAAGCAAAUUGUUACUAGAGACCCGAUCUCUACUAACGGGAGAGCUUCCAUCUCAACAUCCUCGCGGUGCUAAGUAAAAAUUCCAAUGGAAUAGUCAUAUUCCUAAACAUAUCAUCAUACAUUGAAAAGGAAAUUUAAGUUAUUAGCCCAUGUUUAAAUCAUCAUGGGGAAGCUCCUUAAAUCAUGAAUCAUGUGUGUGUUAGAAAACCUUUCACAAUUUCAUUGAUACUUAUCUUAGAAGCAACCUUAGAUCAUAACAUUUAUUUUUAUAAAUCAUGCAUAAACUUUCAUAAGUCAUAUUCUAAAAUUCAUAAAUUCAUAUUUUCGUAAAUGCUUAUCUUCAUAAGUUCAUAGUCAAAAUCAUGAAUAAUGCAUGGGGCGUGUAGAGAUUUAUUGGAAAUCAUAUAAUUCAAUCAAAACAUGCAUAGGAAUAUUGAAAUUGAACAAUUAAAUCAACAUCAAUUAAGACCUAUGUAGAUCACAUGAUACCCUUCGUAAUUUAGAUGAAAUUGAAAUAGAAACUUAGAAAUUCCUUGGGACCCAUUGGAUGAAUGAAAUCCAAUGGUUAGAUCGCACAUAUCUUGAUGAUCAAAACCCAAAUCAAUGGAUGAAUAAGGAGACUUGAAGCUUACACCCUAGAUUUCUUCCUUGAACCAAAGAGAAAAUUGGAGAGGAUGAACUUGGAUGAGAUUUUGGAAUUUGAAAGAAUGAGAGGGUGUGGGUAGAUUUAGGAAUAAAAAGGUAGUUAUAUGACUUAAAAUUAGGGUGAAAACAAGUAUAUGCAUUAAAUACAUAGUACAAUACCAAAAUACCCUUAUGAAUAACUAUUAGAGUGAUCCAUGGGUUGAAGCUGCGGUCCGUAGAACUUUCUACGGCUCGUACGGGUCAACUGUUGAACCAACUUCAGAAACCCAAAAAUCCAAUCAUUUCCCUUGAGACCUUUCUACGGUCUAUUGAUUAUUCUACAGUCUGUAGAAUAUAAAUUCAAUUCCAAAAUUCAGAUAAGUUUGAAUCCUUUCAACGAAAGACAUCUACGACAUGUAGUCCAACCAAUGACCUGUCAUGUUCACUCGUAGAUAGAACUUCUGAAAGUUGAAUUUUUCCUAAUCUCAACCUUAUUCUUACGAGUGCCAUCUACGACCCGUGAAAGCUUCUACUAAGCGUUGGCUGGUCUCGUAGGAUACAAUGAGUAGCCAAAACAUGAAGUUCUUUCCUUUUCCAAUUUCUGAGGUGUUACGUAGGAUAUAUGACAAGUUGUUUUGAGUACAUAUAUUUUUGAAGACCCUAUUUAUCAAAUAUAUGAAUGCCUCUUGUGAAUUGGUCAAACCAAAAGACAUCACCAAGAACUUAUAAUGAUCAUACCUGGUUUGAAAAGCCGUUCUUGAAAUGUCAUUUUCCUUCACCCACAAUUAGUGAUAACCUGACCCAAGGUCGAUCUUGGAUCAGAAUUUGCACCUUAGAGUUGACCAAUAAAGUCUUCUAUUAUUGGAAUAAGAUACUUAUUAUGUAUCGUAACCUUAUUCAAUUGUCUAUAGUCAAUGCUCAUUCAUAAGGAACCGUACUUCUUUUGAACAAACAAUGUCGGAGUACCCCAUGGUGAGAUACUUAGUCUAAUGAAUCCUUCAUCCAAUAAGUCUUUUCAAAUGAUCCUUUAAUUUCUUAUGUUCGAUCACGUCCAUACGAUAAAAAGGAACAAGAUAGGCUAUGUAUUUGGGAGAAGGUCAAUAAUGAAGUCUAUUUCCCUUACAAGUGGAAUUCAAGGAAGAUCAUUGGGAAACACUUUUGGAAAGUCAUUUACAAUUAGAACUUACUCAUGAGUAGGGGUUUCAAAAUCUGUAUCCCUAACCUGAACAAGAUGAUAAAUGACACCUUUAGAAAUCAUUUUCCUAGUCUUUAGGUAGGAUAUAAACUGACCCUUAAGAACACAAUUUUCCCUUUUCCAUGAUAUGAUAGGUUCGUUCAAAUCCUUGAAGGUGACUAAUUGGGUCCUACAAUCUGGUAAGUGAUAACAUGCAUGAGGCCAAUCCAUUCCACGAAUAACAUCAAAAUCUUACAUAUCAAGAUCUACAAGAUCAACAUUAGUGACUCUAUGAGAUACAAAAAUAGGACAAUUUCUAUAAACUCUCUUGACGACAACAGAAUCACCAAUGGGAGUAGAGACAUGAAAGGGAUUAAAAAGGAUUUCACAACCUACAUCGAAUAUUAUGGCCACUUCAGGAGAGAGAAAUGACAAUGUAGCACCCAGAUCAAGUAUAGAAUAAACAUCAAGGUAAAAUACUUUCAACAUACCGGUCAUAACAUUCAGAAAACCCUCAUGAUCCGAUCGAGUCUGAAGAGCAUAGAAUAUGUUUUUCUUCGAAACACCCAAAUCGGAUACACUAGGUUGAUAUUUCCUACCAUUCCUUCCUUUAGUAAAAUGUAAUGGGAAAUUUCUCAUCUGAUGGCCAUUAUAUCCACAAGUAAAGCAACUAUCUAUAUCGGCCAAACAUUUUGCAUCAUGUUUCCUGCCACACCUAGUGCAAGCAGUUAUAAAAGAUCCACAACUAUUAUCUCCUCGAGGUUUAGGGUUAGACACCCUAUCCUUGUUGAACUUAGAGUUUAAGAAUUAGAAGAACCUUGACAAAAAACCAUUGCAAGAAUUUGGAACGAUUAUGUCCACCGGAUCUCAAAUGGGAAAAGUUAGCAUCACCGGUCCUUGCCUUCUUAAACUCCCUAGAUCUCUCCUUUAGCUUUGCCUCUUUGAUUUGUUGGGCAUCAUUAAACAAAGGAUAUACAUCUUCAUUAUUCGCAUGGUGGUUUCGCAUUCUUUAACAACUAAACUGGAAAUACCUGACAUGAACUAACUCAUCCUUACCCAAGAGUUGACAACCAUAGUCGGAGUGUACUUAGCCAAUUGAGUGAACUUCAAAGCAUACUCCUUCACACUCACGCUACCUUGAUAGAGAUUAAUGAACUCAAGAACUUUUUCUUCUCACAUUUCAAGAGGAAAGAAACGAUCAAGAAAAGCUCCUUUGAAUUUCUCCCAAUCAAGAGGGCCCGUAUCAAUAGACCUUUCUUCCUUUCAAUGGUUGAACCAAACUUAAGAAACACAUUUGAGGUUGUAAGCAACCAAUUCUGCCUUUUUUACCGUUGACACUUCUAUAAUCCCCAACAUCUUACAGAACUUAUCAAUGAUCUCUUGGGGGAUCCUCAUAAACUAUGGAACAAUGGAAAUCUGGAAGUUUAUCCUAGUUAAGUCCCUUAUCCUUGUAUUCUGCAUACCUAUAUUUGAGGUCAUGGGAGCAAUGACUUCUCUAUUAGGUUGGACCAUCAUAGGUUGAGCCAACAAUGGGAAGGUAACUCAGAAUUUGGAAAGAGUCAUUUGCUCGGCCAAAGGAUCAACUGAAACAUGAGAAGUAUGGGGCUUCAUAUUCUCACCUGCAUUCCUUCUCACAUAAGCUCUUCAGGGAGCCAUAUCUUAAAAAACAUCGGAUAAGAGUUAGGAGAAGGACCCUGAUAGAGAUGAACUCUAAUGCACGACUUUAGAGUAGUGAAAGAAGUGAAUUAUUCUAAAUGUUUGUAGCCUCCUAUUAUGGCACACUUCACACUCAUGAAAAGGACACUACUCAAUGCGGUUUGUGUCACACAAGAUGUCUAACAAGCUGUUUUGAGUAGAGCUUUGUUCAUAAGUGUGAAGCGCGCCACAUUUAAAAAUAAGAGGUUACAACGCAGUUAGUAAAAUUCGCCUUUUUCACUACUCUAAAGUCAUCCCAUAGAAGUCAUUUCUGUAAAAGCUAUCCUCCCAAAUCAUAUAUGAUGCUUUUCAAGAUAUGGGUCCUCGAAGAGCUUAUGUGAGAAGGAUAAUGGAUGAGAAUGUAAAGCCCGAGGUUUCUCAAGUUCCGGUUGAUCCUUUGGCAAAACAAGUGACUCAUGCCAUAUUAUGAGCCACUAUGUAAGUGUUGUCUCAAUCUAUAAUGACCUAAGCAAAUAGAGAAGUAUUGCUCCCAUGAAACCAAGUGCGGGGAUAACGACAACAAGGAUAAGGGAUUUCACUAGGAUGAAUCCUCUGGAAUUUUAUGGGUCGAAAGUUAAUGAGGAUCCUCAAGAGUUCAUUGAUAAGUUGUAUAAGAUAAUGGAGAUUAUGGGAGUGUCACAUUUAGUAGAUGUGGAAUUAUCCACUUAUAAACUUAAGGGUGUUUCUCAAGUUUGGUUCAAACAAUGGAACGAAGAGAGAGUUGUUGAUGUGGGUCAUCUUGAUUGUAAGAAAUUCAAAGGAGGAUUUCUUAAUUGUUUCUUUCCCCUUUAGAUGAGGGAAGGUAAGGUGCUUGAGUUCAUUAAUCAUUGACAAGGAAAUGUGAGUGUGAAGAAAUAUGCUUUGAAGUUCACUCAAUUGGAUAAGUACACUAUGAUUAUGGUUGCCGACUCUAAGUCAAUGACUAGUAAGUUUGUAUCUGGUGUGCCCGAAAUGGUAGUCAAAGAGUGUCGUACCGCCAGAUGACCCACACCCAACAAAUUGAUGAUAAAAAACUAAAAGAGAAGUGUAGAGAGGCAAGGACCGGUGAUGGUGAAUUUUCCCAUUUGAGGUUCGGUGGGCAUGGCCGUUCUAAAUUCAAGAAAAGGUUUUCCGGUCAAGGUUUUUCUAAUGCUCCAACCUCUAAGUUCAGCAAAGAUAGAGUGUCUAACCUUAAACCUCAAGGAGGUAAUGGUGGUAGAUCUUUUAUGACUACUUGCACUAGGUGUGGAAAGAAACAUGAUGGCAAAUGUUUCUCUGGUACGAGUGGUUGCUUUAGUUGUGGGAAAAGUGGUCACAAGAUGAGAUAUUGUUCGUUGCUUGCUACUAAGGGAAGACAUUGUAGCCAAGCUCAGCCUAGUGGUUUGAGUUUGAGUGCUCUAAAUCAAAACAAAUUCUAUGCACUUUAAACUCGAUAAGAUUAUGAGGGUUUAAUAGAUUUUAUGACCGAUACAUUGGAAGUCUUUAAUUUUGAUGUGUAUGCUUUACUUAAUUAAGUUUCUACAUUAUCAUUCGUUACUCCUUAUGUGGAAUGAGAUUCGAUGUAGGUCUUGAAAUCCAUUCUAAUCCAUUUCAUGUCUCUACUCCUAUUGGUGAUUCUAUUACUCCUAAAAAGGUUUAUAGAAAUUAUCCUAUUUUUGGUUCUUAUAGAGUCACUUAUAUUUUGAUAUUAUUUUUGGGAUGGAUUGACUUAAUGCAUGUUAUUCUUCCAUAGACUAUAGGAACCGAUUCGUCAGAUUCAAGGUUUCGAAUUAACCUAUUAUGGCAUGGGAAGGGGAAAGUUAUGUUAUUAAGGGCUAGUUCAUAUCUUGCUUAAAAGCCAUGAAAAUGUUUUCUAAGGCUUGCAUCUACCAUCUUUUUCGAACUAUGGAUACAUAUUCAAAAAAUGCUACUCUUGAGUAAGUUCCGAUUGUAAAUGAGUUCGUUGAAGUGUUUUCGAAUGAUUUUCCUUGUAUUCCUCCCAAAAGGGAAAUAGACUUCAGUAUUGACCUUCUCCUAGAUAUGCAGUUUAUCUCUAUUCCUCCUUACUGAAUGGCCCCAGUAGAAUUUAAGGAAUUAAAGGAUCAGUUGAAAGACUUAUUGGAUAAAUGAUUCAUUAGACCAGGUAUCUCACAAUGUGGUACUUUGGUAUUGUUAGUUUGAAAGAAGUAUUGUUCCCUCUGAAUGUGCAUUGACUAUCGGCAAUUGAAUAAGGUUACCAUAAAUAAUACAUAUCCAAUUCCAAGGAUUGAUGAUUUAUUUGAUCAACUCCAAGGUGCUAGUUUUUUCUCCUAGAUUGACCUUCGAUCGGGUUAUCACCAAUUAAACGAAGAAAAAUGACAAUCCAAAGAUGACUUUUUGAACCAUGUAUGAUCAUUAUGAGUUUUUAGUAAUGUCUUUUAAUUUGACUAAUGCCCUGGUGGUGUUUAUAGAUUUGAUGAAUAGGGUCUUUAAGCAAAUUCUCGAUAUGCUUUGUAAUUAUUUUUAUUGAUUAUUUUUUUAUUUAUUCACGCAAUAAGGAUGAACAUGUUUAGAGUUUAAGGAUGGUGUUACAAAUUCUCAAGGAUCAUGAAUUGUAUUCUAAGUCUAGAAAUGGUGAAUUUUGGUUGAGGUAUGUUUCUUUUCUUGGCCAUAUUGUCUCUUGUGAAAGUACUUAAGUCGAUCCUAAAAAAUCCGAGGAGAUUAAUAACUGGCUAGAUAUGUGUCCACUUCAGAUAUACAGAGUUUCUGGGUUUAGCAGGUCAUUAUAGAAGGUUUAUGGCAGGAUUUUCCUCUAUUACUUCACCUUUGACAACAUUGACUUAAAAGAAGGUUAAAUUCAUAUAGUUGGAAGCUUGUGAGAAGAGUUUCUAAGAGUCGAAAGAUAGACUCACAUCAUCCCCCAUAUUUACAUUAACGGAAGGAUAUGAUGUCUUCGUAGUGUAUUGCGAUGCUUCAAGGAUUGGUGUUGGUUGUGUUUUGAUGCAACAUGGGAAGGUCAUUGCUUAUGCUUAAAGGCAAUUGAAUGUGCACGAAAGGAGGUAUUCGAAUCUUGAUUUGGAGUUUGCAGUGGUAGUGUUUGCUCUAAUGAUUUGGAGACAUUACGAAUAUGUUGGUUAUGUAGAUGUGUUUACCUACCACAACAGUUUGAAAUAUCUUUUCACUCUAUAAAAAUUGAAUCUUUGUCAAAGAAGACGUUUUCAAAUAUUGAAGGAUUACGACAUGAGUCCUCUAUCAUCCGGAUAAAGUGAAUGUGUUAGCGGAUACUCUUAUUCAACUAUUGAUGGGUAAUGUUGCUCAUAUUGGCGAUGGUAAGAAGGAGUUAGGUCGUUUUGACCAUAAUUCUAAGCCUUGUAGCUACAGUUCUAUUUUAAAAACUAGUUCAACUCUCUCAUUCUCUCAAAAUUUGAAAUCCCAUCUACAUUCAUCCUUUCCAAAUUCUCUAUAGCUCAAGGAAGAAUAUCUAGGGUUUCAAGCUUCAAGUCUCCUUAUUCUCCCUUACUAUUGGCCUUUUUUUUAUCAAGGUAUAUAUGAGUUCACCAAUGGAUUUCACUCAUCCAAUAUGCCCUAAAAGAUUUCCAAGUUUCAAAUUCAACUUCAUCUAAAUUGAUUAGGGUUUCAUGUAAUCUACAUGGGUCUUGCUUAAUUUUAAGUUAAUUACACAAUUUCAAUCUUCCCAUGCAUGAAUUGAUUAAACCACAUGAUUUCCAAAUGAUUUUUCUAUAAGACCCAUGCUUUUAUGAUGAAUUUAUGAAGAACCUUGCAAAAUUAUAAAGUAUUAUUUAGCGAAGCUAUGCAUUAUUAUGAAAGCAAUGUUUAUGAAUUUUGGAUGCUUAUGAGAUAUGUAUCAAAGAAUGGUGAAAGGUUUUUCUCACAUACUUAUGUAAUCAUGAUUGUGAAAGGUUUUCUCACAUAUUUAUGAAUCAGGAUUUAAAGGAGCUACUCUAUGAUGAAUUAAGAUUGGACUGGUAUUCUAAAUUGUGUCUUUCCAAGUAUGAUGAUAUGAAUAUGUUUCAGACAAAAUACAUUGAGAUUUUACUUAGUACCGAGAGGAAGUUAAGAUGAAGGCUCUCCCAUUAGUAAAGGACGGGUUCUCCCUAACUGCGUGCCAAUGUUGGAUUUGUCUUAGAAAGAUAUAGCUAAUGAAUCCACCUAAACUAGAAGUUUAUGGUCCUUAACUUUGAAAGAAGGACAUCUUUUUUAUUGUGUGAGAGCGAGACACCAGAUUCCACUUUAGAGCUCACUUGGUCUAUGGGGGCUAGUAGUAAACAUCCCACAAAUUGAUCCAAUUUACAUUAAAGGUUUUUAUGAAGCUUUCAUUGUGUUUUAUGAUUCAUUGAUCAUGUUUAUGACUUAUAUUUCUUUUAAAGGCUUUUACUAUGAUUUAGCUUGGUCAUGCAUAUCAUGUUCUAAGAUUCUCAUAUACUCAUGUUUCAUAUUUGUAUGCAUUUCUCCAUACUUAGUAGGUUAUAUGUACUAAUGCGUACUUGUGCCUAAUUUUUUUAAUAAUGUAGGGUCGGACGCUUUUCCUCUUCCCGGUCAUGCCUAGUUGAUUGCUUGAUUCUUCAAGACUUGGUGAGUCCUCAUGUUCUCAGGAUCGUGUCACCAUUAUUAUGCUUUCCUGUGUCUUUAGUUUUCAGAUGUUGUACAUGGUGUAUGUGUUACGUCCCAAC
RNAcentral lists this long non-coding RNA (18571 nucleotides) under Solanum tuberosum (potato). RNAcentral describes it as "long non-coding RNA (STUB_LNC011623)". The record is from RNAcentral. Lineage: Eukaryota; Viridiplantae; Streptophyta; Magnoliopsida; Solanales; Solanaceae.